RNAcentral lists this ribosomal RNA (538 nucleotides) under uncultured bacterium. RNAcentral describes it as "bacterial SSU rRNA". It matches the Rfam family "Bacterial small subunit ribosomal RNA", at positions 340 to 878 of the family's 1533-position model. The record is from RNAcentral.
UACGGGAGGCAGCAGUGAGGAGUAUUGGUCAAUGGACGAGAGUCUGAACCAGCCAAGUAGCGUGCAGGAUGACGGCCCUAUGGGUUGUAAACUGCUUUUAUAAGGGAAUAAAGUGAGUCUCGUGAGACUUUUUGCAUGUACCUUAUGAAUAAGGACCGGCUAAUUCCGUGCCAGCAGCCGCGGUAAUACGGAAGGUCCGGGCGUUAUCCGGAUUUAUUGGGUUUAAAGGGAGCGUAGGCCGGAGAUUAAGCGUGUUGUGAAAUGUAGACGCUCAACGUCUGCACUGCAGCGCGAACUGGUUUCCUUGAGUACGCACAAAGUGGGCGGAAUUCGUGGUGUAGCGGUGAAAUGCUUAGAUAUCACGAAGAACUCCGAUUGCGAAGGCAGCUCACUGGAGCGCAACUGACGCUGAAGCUCGAAAGUGCGGGUAUCGAACAGGAUUAGAUACCCUGGUAGUCCGCACGGUAAACGAUGGAUGCCCGCUGUUGGUCUGAAUAGGUCAGCGGCCAAGCGAAAGCAUUAAGCAUCCCACCUGGGG